This 299-nucleotide signal recognition particle RNA is filed under the name Cebus imitator (Panamanian white-faced capuchin). RNAcentral's name for it is "Metazoan signal recognition particle RNA (ENSCCAG00000004917.1)". It matches the Rfam family "Metazoan signal recognition particle RNA". Rfam says of the family: The signal recognition particle (SRP) is a universally conserved ribonucleoprotein. It is involved in the co-translational targeting of proteins to membranes. The record is from RNAcentral. Lineage: Eukaryota; Metazoa; Chordata; Mammalia; Primates; Cebidae.
GCCAGGCUCAGUAGCGCGUGCCUGUAGUCCCAGCUACUCGGGAGGCUGAGGCUGGAGGAUUGCUUGAGUCCAGGAGUUCUGGGCUGUAGUGAGUUAUGCUGAUCGGGUGUCCGCACUAAGUUCGACAUCAAUACGGUGACCUCCCGGGAGUGGGGGACCACCAGGUUGCCUAAGGAGGGGUGAACCAGCCCAGGUCGGAAACAGAGCAGGUCAAAACUCCCGUGCUGAUCAGUUCUGGGAUCGUGCUUGUGAAUAACCACUGCACUCUAGCCUGGGCAACAUAGCAAAACCACAUCUCC